UUUUUUUAGACACGUUUAAAAAAAAAAAAUAUCAAUUUAAAAAAUGAUUAGUCAUAUGUGAUUAGCGUUAUCUAAGAAUCGACUGCAACUAGCACAACCGAGCAGUGUCCCGACUUUCGAUUAAUUUUCAGUUGCACUUUGAGCUCCACAAGCAACUGACGUGACCAUGAAGACUAGAGGUCCUCGAUUCCUAGAUGAGGUCCUCUAGUCUUCAUGGAUGUGACACUAAAAUUAAAUAAGGAUCCAACAUCUCCAUCAUCUCAUGAAUUAUUAAUUAAAACAUCAUCAUCACACAGUCAAUCAAUUAGUCACACAGUGACUUAUCAGUUGAAAAAGGAUGGGUACGUCAAUUAAUUUUUGUUUGUGACUUUAAAUUAUAUUUUUGGUGUUCGUUCAGUACGUGAGUCUGAUGUUAUUCAUGCAACUAAAAAAGACAUUCCAUGCAUAUUCAGGAUUACAACGUCUUUGCUGGAACGACCUGGUUUAAGAAAUCAUACGUUGAUGUUGGCUGAUACAGAAAGUGAAAAAACUAAAUGGGUUGUUGCAUGCAUUGAGUAAAUUACAUAUAGAAUAUUAAAAAGAAAUAAUCUUCCAAACACUCGGAUAGUAUUUCUUCCAAGUGAUAGAAAGUUGGAUGAUCUUGUGGGUUUUUUUUCUUACGGACUGCCAUAAUAUCAUAUAUUUUUUGAGUUGAAUACUCAGGUUUGGCUAAUCUAGAUCAAUUCUUUUAAAAGAAAUAUAGUCGUUUCCCGCCCUAACCUGGAUACGGUGUCAUUCCAAGAGUGAAAAUUUCCCAUAGUAGCACUCCAAAAGCCCAAACAUCUGAUUCAGUUAAAUAUAUCUUAUUAUAUUCAAUAUGAUUUCCAUGUUCUUGAUAUUUUUUUAGACAUUUUUAGCUAGCCCAAAAUCACAAAUUUUUACAAUAUUUCCAUUGUUUAUUUCGAGAUACCCCAUGGUAAUUUAGCAGCACGUCUAAUGGAAAUAUUGCGAAAAUUUGUGAUUUUGGGUUAGCUAAAAAUGUUUACAAGAACAGAAUUUAGAACGGAUCUAGAUUAGCCAAAUCUGAGCAUUCACCUAAAAAAAUAUAUGAUAUUAUGGUGCUCUGUUGGAAAAAAAAUA
Aphidius gifuensis is the source of this 1119-nucleotide long non-coding RNA. RefSeq lists it as uncharacterized. NCBI's taxonomy places the organism in Eukaryota, Metazoa, Arthropoda, Insecta, Hymenoptera, Braconidae. The transcript is spliced from 3 exons. The record is from RefSeq and is a predicted model, not a curated record.